RNAcentral lists this unclassified non-coding RNA (292 nucleotides) under uncultured fungus. RNAcentral describes it as "sequence contains ITS1". Lineage: Eukaryota; Fungi. The record is from RNAcentral.
GGACUACACGGGUUUCUAAUCCUGUUUGCUCCCCAUGCUUUCGUACCUCAGCGUCAGUAUUAGGCCAGAUGGCUGCCUUCGCCAUCGGUAUUCCUCCAGAUCUCUACGCAUUUCACCGCUACACCUGGAAUUCUACCAUCCUCUCCCAUACUCUAGCUUCCCAGUAUCGAAUGCAAUUCCCAAGUUAAGCUCGGGGAUUUCACAUCCGACUUAAAAAGCCGCCUACGCACGCUUUACGCCCAGUAAAUCCGAUUAACGCUCGCACCCUCUGUAUUACCGCGGCGGCUGGCAC